GCACAUUUUCCCACCAAUCUUAAUGCAAUACAAGGUGGUUUUAAGGGAGGAAACACAACCUCCUGUGCACACAGCCUUCUGCUUCAAGUGGAAAUAUUUGCUACACACACGCACGCACACACACACACACACACACACGCACACACACUUCCCACGCAGCCUCUCUCUCUGCUCAUGCAUCAUAGCAUCAUUCUCCCACAGUGUAAAAAUUUGGGCUGCAGUCAGAUGUUAAAAACUGUGUGAAUCACUGCAGCAGCUUCAGGGGAGCCGGGGUGAAUGUUUUCGCAACGAUAAAGCGUCCCACUCUGUGUUUAUGAUUGAUUUUUGACGUUAUAAAUAACAAACAGACACACACACACACACACACACACGCCGUCCUCUUAUCUAUCCUCCUCUUCCUCUUUCUUGAAUUUAAAUGAGCUUCUAGGCACAGCAGCUUUUUUGGAAAAGGCAGCUCUAUAAAUAUUAUGCAAAGAUAUGAUAAUCACAACAUUUAAGGGUCAAAUCAGGAUAUUGUACAGCAGUGAACAUACAGUUUGUGAGUGCUUUGAUAUGGAAAUAUAUGAAAUAAAAUGCAGCUGUAUUGAUGUGAAUAAGAGUUAGCCUAAUUUAUACAUUAUAUUUUAUACAAAUAAAUAAAAUAAAAUAGUUUUAUUCUAUUUUAUUUAGUUGCCUUUUUUCAUUUAUUUAAGUUUAUUCCAUUGAUCUUUAUUUUCAUUUGAUUUCAUCUUUUAGCCUACCUUUUUCCUGUGGCUGGUGUGUGAUGAUUAGAUGUUCCUUCACAAACAGAGAUGCUGUCUGCUGCCUGUAAGCUCUCAGAAGCCCUAACACCAAAACAUGUCAGCACUUUUGUCAGAGACCAUUAGUUGUAAAUAAAAAUUGUAUUUCAAAUGUCCUACUUUAAAUAAAAGUGGGACAUUAAUGUAUCCAGGUUGCACAAAUGUGAUUAUGGAUUCAGAAAAUAAAUCCAAGUUAGGUUGGCUGCUCUGGCAGAUGUGUAGUUUCAUGCUCGGAUGUUUUGGUGCUGUCUUUCUAUCCUCCUCUUCCUCCUCCUCACCUGUGUCUUCCCUGCAGGAGUCUGAGGGCAAUGUGGAGGCUCAGAUCCACUCACUGAUUCAGAGAGCUGAGUGCUGGCUGUGGAACAUCAGCAGCAGCAGCCCCUUUCCUGUGAGAGAGACCAAACCAUUCAACAACGUCGAAAGUUGCUUACUUCAAGAGGAAAUAUGCGGAGGAGGAGGAUUUACACGGAGGCCUACAUGGAUAUUUUCAAAAACACCUGAUACUGCAGGAGGACCGCAGCUGCAUCCUGAAGCUGUCCCUGGAGAAGCUGAGGUUCCUGGAGGACCCCGAGGCCUACCUCCGGCGCUCCGUCCUCAUCAACAACCUGCUGAGGAAGAUCCACCAUGAGGAGGAGGAGCUGGAGGCCGAAGAGGAGGAGGAGGAGGAGGAGGAAGAAGAUGAGGUAGAAGAAGAGGAAGAAGAAGUAGGAGAAGAGGAGGUGGUGAUGGGAGAGAGGGGGCAGCGGAAGCUGUUGUACCCGGACAGGAAGAGGGUGAAGGUGCUGGUGAUGGACUGCUGCUCACCAGCGUUUGGCCUGGAGGAGCUGCAGCAUUACCGGCUGGUGCCCUGUUACCCAUCAGCCCUGUACAGCCUGGGUACCUGCCCGGGCCUCGCGCCCAACCACCAGGUCCUUCUCUACAACCUGGACGACAACGGCUGACUGUCCACACCUCGCUGCCUCUUUUCAAAGUUUUUAGAAAUGCAGGGUAGGUUCAUGAUACGGGCAUGUGGACAUGUACUGUUUGUUCAUAAUCGCCAGGAGGAAAGCUGCCGUUGUUUUCCCACGUACAACCUUUAAAAGGAAAAUGUGCCGUGGGGGUUUGCCAGGAUGUCACCUCCUCUCUUCACUUUGCUAAGAGGCAGCAGUGGAUUUGAGAAAAAAAACAACCCAGAUUCUCCUUCUGCUUCGGGAUCAACGUGGGUUGGUCUGUGAUGGUUGAUGUCAAACUCUGUCGCAGCGUCACUGCCAUUUUAUCGUACGUGCAAAUGUGAGAGACUCGAAGCCGGCUGUUGAUGUUGUGUAAUUGAUUCUUAUUGUUAUCGUUGCUCAUGUGAACCGUGAGCCUAUUCAGGGAUUUACAGACUGCAGGCUACUUCUUUUGAUGCACCUUGACUUGCGUGGAGAAUAUGAAUAUGCGCUGUUAUGCUUUAUGCUACUGUGUGAUUUAUGAAAUAUUCUCUGUGUAACAUUCCCUGGACUGUGUGAAUCGUCAUGCUAUCUCAUGGUACUCCGUUCUCUGAGAGAUGCAUUUACAUUUACAGUUGUUUUCUCUGUAUUUGAUGUCCUGUGUUUUGCAUUACUUGGCUGCCAUCUGCUGGUGAAAUAAUUCAACUUGAAGCCCUUUAUGUGUUCAAAUCUUACAAUGCAAGUGGAUGAAAAGAAAAGACGGUAACAUUUUACUUUAAGUCCCCUUGUUUAGCAUUUAUAAGCAAUAUAUGAAUGGUUUGUAACACAUUAUAAUUCAGUUGUAUGCAGAUAUGUGUUAUUAACCGAACUCCUCCUCUAGGCACCCAUAAAUGGAGGCUGCUGUAUUAAAAUGAUUGACAAUAUCGUAAAACGCAGAUAUAAUACUAUAAGAUGUCUUCAUAGGAGAAGUUACAAUUGUCAACAAAUACUAUACAUUAAGAAAUACUUAAAGUGCCCUUAUAUCUGCGUACAACUGUGUUUUAACCCGUUUAUUAAAGGUUUAUAAAGUGCUUGUAAUACUAAAUAGGAGGGGCUUAAAGUGAAGUGUUACAGAAAAGGGGAAUCAUGUUUCUUAUUUGUUUUCCCUUUUUAGGUGAUAGAAGUCAUGUUUUGAGGGAAACUGGCAUCUCUUCUCAUUCUCUUGAGCUCUAAGAAGUAAAAAAAACAACUUUUUUUGUCUGCUACCAAAUCAUUUGUACGUGAUCGAUUUUCAGCCCCAUGGUGUUUUGAAGCUGAAUUUCAGAGCGCAGAAUGUCUUUAGAUUGAUAUUAUAUUCCAUAUUUUUUACUAUCAGUCCUGGGGUCUGUUUCAGGAAGGAGGUUUACCAAACUCUGAGUCUAACCCUGAUCUCUGAGUUGAUUUACCCUGAGAUGGAAACUCUGAGUUUUCGGUUCCAGAACAGCUGAUUUGAGUUGGUUCAAUCAACUCCGAGUAGGUUCACUCAGAGUUAAGCGCGUGCACCACCACUAUAAAAAGGCAGCAUGAAUACUACGAUUCACCAUGGCAACAACCACAAACAAAUCGGUCGGCAUACUUUUCCCCUCUGGAACUGGAACUACUCAUGCUCACAUACAGCGAGUUUGAAUAUAUAUUUUUGUUAAAAAUAGCAACACGGCUGCUGCUGCAAAAUAGCGAGAAUCGAUGGGGGAAAAAAUUGCUGCUCGGGUCAAUGCGUAAGCUCUAAUAUAGUGUAUUCAUUUCAUAUUUAAUCACAGGUAACCUAUAAUAUUACUGGUGAAAACUGGAAUGGUAGUAGCCUAGGCUACACCUAUAAUUUCAUUUAGGUGCAAUCCUGCAGACUACUAAUCCCAUUCUGAGGCUGCAGCACCAUGUCAUUAACAGAAAUAUAAUUUAUAAUCAUUUCAUUCUUUUUAAUGGCUCUCACCGGUUUGUGUCCAGAACACUACAAAAACUUUUAAAAAACGUUUCAGAGUGAGUCCCACUCUUCUGACGGCUCUUUGCUACAGUGGCUUUACUAAAAUGCUCCGCCUCACCAAUGUUAUAAAGAAUACUGCCGUUUGCAGAAAAACGUAAUGCAACACAAAGAAUGUGCUGGGAUGUAGAGCAUGUUCACGAUGGGUGACGUUAGUGAUAUGAGGACGGAUAAGGUUAUGUAGGCUACAUAAAAGAUAGACUGGGAAGAAAAACGAUACCACUCAAAUAGGUAGGCUAGUAUCUGGAAAUGAAAAUGCAUCUAUAGUCAGGGCCUCAAUAUCAUCUCCAGACGUAUGUUUAACUCCCUGAGAAAACCAACCCUGUUUUUUUAUUCAUGCAGAUAACAAACUGGUCUAAAAUGCGCCUGAUACAGACUGAAUGAAUGAAUGAGGAAAUGAAAGAGUGCUGUGUCAGAGGGAGGAGACUGAGAGAAGAAAACCUGCUCCCGACCAGGUUAAGUUCACAGGCUCAGUUACCAUAGUAACUGACUCUGAGGUUAAGUUGCCAUAGUAACUGACUCUGAGGUUAAGUACCUCUCUUUCUGAAACAGCCUGGAGUUCCCCCUCUCUCAGGUUAGAUUAACCUCUCUUUCUGUUCCCCUCAUUUCAGGGUUAACUAACUCAGAGUUCUCACUAAACCUGUACUAUGAAUCCAGAUCAACAUGCCCUGGAUUUCUUUCAGUUACCCGGCUUCACCUAACCAAACAACCGCGGUCCUGCAUAAGCUGUGUCACGACGGUGGUUAACAACUAGUUCAAUCAACCCAGGGUUUCCCAAUCCAGCGACGCACGUUCACAUAGAGGUGGAGUUUGCACAGCAUGACCAAUCACAAACAUCUACCAGAGCCACAUAUUUUACAUAAGAAAAGCAAAUUAUAAUUCUACAUAAAUAUGAAGAACACAGACACGGUUUUACAGGCAAAACGCAAAACAGUCGCUGCUUCCUAACCCAGGAAGGAAAGCUGGCAAAAAAAGCCAACGCUGUAAAUGCGUAAAUUACAACGCUUAUCAAUAUCACUUCCCCAUCAGUCAGGCACAAGAUCUGACCAUAAUUACACUUGUGCUUUCCAUAAACUGUUGUUGCUUUAGCCUAUUAUUUCAGUUGCCACCUUGGCAGUGGAAGCGAUCGUGAGAACAAAUAAAAUAUAUAAAAACAUAAUUCAAACCGAUGUGUGCAUUGGCAACACACAACGUAAUUCCCUCCGCUGAAAAUCUAUAUCUUUCAUAAAAUACCCAUCAGGGAAUGUUAACGGGGUUGUCGGUCUCUAAAUGUUUUAACUUUUAAGAGUGCAUCUCUCUCUAACCGCCCACCGAACUCCACCGGAUCUUCUAAGAACGGUGACGCCGUUAUCAGCCGAGUGUUGAUUGGUCAGUAGGCGGUGCUUUAAAGCUCUGACACUCCAACCUGACGGCCGACUGUCGGCAGAAAAGCCAGUCGGACUGAUCAGCCUCCCCGAGUUGGUCCAAAAAGUACCUCGGAACACACUGAAGAGACGCUGACUUGAGUGUAUGUUCUGUGCGUGCGUGAGACGUAAUACGUCUCCAUAACAGCAGAUGGCGCUAAUCUGUAUUGUCGUCCAAAAAAUGAAAACCGGCAGCUGAGUGGAGGAACGCGUCACAUGGGUCUGGCUUCUCCUGAAUUUCAAAACAGACCAUAAUAUGAAAAUAGUUCAUCGAACCGUGUUUCUGAAAACAUUUGAAGAGAGAAAUAGGCCAUGCAGCUGCUGAAUCUUCAUUUCAGAUCAACAAAGGUCAGUUUGAAAGAUUUUCGUCAGAUUUUGAGAGGCGUCCGUCACACUCAUCCUGCUCAUCAUUUCCGGGUUAGCUCUCCACCAAUCAGAUUGGUCGUUGAGUCCGACUGCCCACUGGCCGAUUCAACAAGUCAAAUCGGCCCAAAUGAAGGCUGACGGCUCCUCAGACUGACGUCAGCACGGAACACACCGAACAGACUCGGGUCCCCGACCUCGCCAGACUGUCCUACGGCCGAUAAUUGGGUUGGGGUGUCAGUGCCUUACACCGGUUGAUCUCUAUUCUCCAACAUAACCAUAAAGGUUAGGUGUUCAGCGUCGUGAUACACAAAACCCUGGGUUGAACCUGAAGUUACCUCGGUAACGCCAAAUCUUGCUUCGUAGUGCAGGCCUCUGCUUUGUGAAAUGGGCCCCUGGUUGUAGCAGCAGGUGCAGUGUUGUCACAGAGACUGAGUUUUGCUAAGUCGUCAGAAGAUAUUUUAUAAUUUCAUGUGGCACAGUGCGUGCUUUAUAAAGCUGACUAAUCUGCUGUAUGACAACGCAGAUUAAUGAGUCAUCCUUCUCAUCCUCUUAUGUGUUUGGAGAGUUUCACUGGGUUUGAAAAUGUGCAUCUUGAUAACAAUCACUACAAUGGAAAACAACAACAACAACAAACUGCAGGCAACUACUAAAGAGAAGCUUGAUAUUUUAAAACAAUAAUUUAUAUUUUGAUGAAAAUGUAUAGUCCAUAUUUAAGAUAAACUAUUUUGAAAAAGGGCAAGUAGACUUUUUUCAGGUGAUUGAUUAUCAAAUAAAGUAUGUGAAGUGACAA
Molecule: long non-coding RNA, 6239 nt
Filed under: Sander lucioperca (pikeperch)
Lineage: Eukaryota; Metazoa; Chordata; Actinopteri; Perciformes; Percidae
Description: lncRNA (ENSSLUG00000022359.1)
Source: RNAcentral